AAAUUGGCUUUCACAAAUAAUCUAGGUCGUUCUCUCCCCACCCUCCCCUAUUCCUUAGGCUCCCACGCCGGCCGCCGCCCCUCACGGUUGCGACCAACCCGCAUCCUGGCGCGCGGCCCCUCUUCACUCCCCCGCGCUCCUCCAUCUCGGCGGCCGCCAGUACCACUCCCGUGUGACCCUACAGCCCGGUGCGCCGCCUCUCGUCACCACUCCCUGCAUGUGGUCCUCUCCUCCGUCCCGACACGCCGCCAACACCUCUCCCCAGCGACUCUGCAUCCCGGCGCGCCGCCCCUCGUCACCUCUCCCCUGUGACGAUUGGCGAAUCCAAGGUACGUAGUGAAGGUGGCAGCCAAAGAUUUUGAUUUUUGUAUCUGGUGUUCCUGCAUGAUGGUCUUGACUCUUGAGAGCUGAGAAGAUCUGUUUUGCUUAAGAAAAUUCUGUAGUUGUUUCUGCACCUGAGUUCAUGGUCAAGGUCUCAUGGAGUCCAAUGGAAUAAUGUUGGAAGCCCAUGGUGUCCAUUGAAUUUUGUUCACCUGCUACUAGCUGGAUUCCAAGCAUUGUAGGUCCUCCAGUGAGAAGUUGAUCAUACAUUGGGUAAAUAUCAUUGAAUUGCACAAGCAGUGCACAUUCCGGCCUACUGUGCUUAUAAAUUUAAUGCUUCACACCAUCUUCUUAAUGUUGUAUCCAUUUUGGAAGAAGCUUUGGUAGUUAUGAUACUGAUAUACUUGUGAUAGAUGAUUCAUGUAUGCUGCUACUUUAGUUUUCAAUGCAAUAAAAGGACCAACAUUUAUAUUCCUCUGAAUAAAGACAAUAUUUGUACAUGGUUUAUUGGUUCAAUUUUCAUAUCAUAAACAACUUUUGUUGGAGGAAAUUCUGAGUCUUGUUUUGCCCUGAUUGAUAACACUUCUCAGCACGCUUGCUUUCUAGGAAGAUUGAUUAUUUAUUCAUAUCUUGAAGUUUGAUAGAGUUGUC
Triticum aestivum (bread wheat) is the source of this 972-nucleotide long non-coding RNA. RefSeq lists it as uncharacterized. Lineage: Eukaryota; Viridiplantae; Streptophyta; Magnoliopsida; Poales; Poaceae. The transcript has 3 exons. The record is from RefSeq and is a predicted model, not a curated record.